Molecule: ribosomal RNA, 497 nt
Filed under: uncultured bacterium
Lineage: Bacteria
Description: partial 16S ribosomal RNA
Rfam family: Bacterial small subunit ribosomal RNA
Source: RNAcentral
GAUGAACGCUGGCGGCGUGCCUAAUACAUGCAAGUCGAGCGAACGGACGAGAAGCUUGCUUUUCUGAUGUUAGCGGCGGACGGGUGAGUAACACGUGGAUAACCUACCUAUAAGACUGGGAUAACUUCGGGAAACCGGAGCUAAUACCGGAUAAUAUUUUGAACCGCAUGAUUCAAAAGUGAAAGACGGUCUUGCUGUCACUUAUAGAUGGAUCCGCGCUGCAUUAGCUAGUUGGUAAGGUAACGGCUUACCAAGGCAACGAUGCAUAGCCGACCUGAGAGGGUGAUCGGCCACACUGGAACUGAGACACGGUCCAGACUCCUACGGGAGGCAGCAGUAGGGAAUCUUCCGCAAUGGGCGAAAGCCUGACGGAGCAACGCCGCGUGAGUGAUGAAGGUCUUCGGAUCGUAAAACUCUGUUAUUAGGGAAGAACAUAUGUGUAAGUAACUGUGCACAUCUUGACGGUACCUAAUCAGAAAGCCACGGCUAACUACGUG